CGCUUUCAGCGGCAUGUUUCUAUACUAGUGAACUGAACUUCCAUUACAUUUCUCUGCCUACCGCGCUUGGUUCGUAUUUACUUUCCAUUACAUUUCUCCGUCUACCGCUCUUGGUUUCGUAUUUACUAUUUUACAUUUAAACUGGAAUUUGCUUUUAUUAUGAUUUUUGUGUAGUAAUCAACCGGGAACCAGUUUACAUACCUCCGGUCCUUCUUAUUACCAAAAAGAUCGAAGUGUACCAACCAAUGUUGUUAAGAUACUCAUAAAUCUAUUUUUAUAACUUUAUUGAUUAUGUGAAGUAAAACUAAAACAUUGUUAAAACAUUAAAGAUAUAUAAUUAAUCGGGGAAAACUUGAUAGUCUUUUCUUUUUACAAAC
Molecule: long non-coding RNA, 377 nt
Filed under: Mytilus galloprovincialis (Mediterranean mussel)
Lineage: Eukaryota; Metazoa; Mollusca; Bivalvia; Mytilida; Mytilidae
Source: RNAcentral